CAAAACCAACAAAGGUUUUUGGUGAACCCGGAAAACCAAAGUGUAUAGGUUCGUUGGUGAGCCCGUAAAACCAACAAAGGUUUUUGGAUUGUGAGCCCGGAAAAUAAUCCAACUGUAAUCCGCGGGAUUAUAGUGAAUUCCCAAGGGGACGCUUGGGGAGUGGACGUAGGUGCUAAGGAGAGCACCGAUCCACUAUAUAUUGUUGUGUUUGUGUUGUGCUUGUGUUUACGUUUAUUCUUGCAUCAUCUUCUAUCUUUGCACUAGUUUAAAUCAUUCAAAUAGUUUAAGAAAGCAUCCACUGCACUUAAUUAAGAAAGUCCUUUUUAAACACCAAAAAUUUAGAAGAAACUAAUUCACCCCCCCCUCUUGGUUUGUCACCUUGGGCAACAAGUGGUAUCAGAGCAAGGUGCUCUAAUAGUACUCAUUGAUCUCACAAUCAAGAGUUAAAGAUCAUGACAACCCAAGUGGGAUGUUCUAUGAGUGAGGGACAAUUAAUUGAUAGACCACCUCUAUUUAAUAGCACAAACUACACAUACUGGAAAGCUAGGAUGA
Molecule: long non-coding RNA, 552 nt
Filed under: Phoenix dactylifera (date palm)
Lineage: Eukaryota; Viridiplantae; Streptophyta; Magnoliopsida; Arecales; Arecaceae
Description: long non-coding RNA (PDAC_LNC021697)
Source: RNAcentral